UGGGGAAUAUUGCACAAUGGGCGCAAGCCUGAUGCAGCCAUGCCGCGUGUGUGAAGAAGGCCUUCGGGUUGUAAAGCACUUUCAGCGAGGAGGAAGGUGGUGAGCUUAAUACGCUCAUCAAUUGACGUUACUCGCAGAAGAAGCACCGGCUAACUCCGUGCCAGCAGCCGCGGUAAUACGGAGGGUGCAAGCGUUAAUCGGAAUUACUGGGCGUAAAGCGCACGCAGGCGGUUUGUUAAGUCAGAUGUGAAAUCCCCGGGCUCAACCUGGGAACUGCAUUUGAAACUGGCAAGCUAGAGUCUCGUAGAGGGGGUAGAAUUCCAGGUGUAGCGGUGAAAUGCGUAGAGAUCUGGAGGAAUACCGGUGGCGAAGGCGGCCCCCUGGACGAAGACUGACGCUCAGGUGCGAAAGCGUGGGGAGCAAAACAGGAUUAGAUACCCUGGUAGUCACGCUGUAAACGAUGUCGAUUUUGGAGGUUGUGCCCUUGAGGCGUGGCUUCCGGAGCUAACGCGUUAAAUCGACCGCCUGGGGAG
This 533-nucleotide ribosomal RNA is filed under the name uncultured bacterium. RNAcentral describes it as "partial 16S ribosomal RNA". It matches the Rfam family "Bacterial small subunit ribosomal RNA", at positions 355 to 880 of the family's 1533-position model. The record is from RNAcentral.